GGCCGCGAAUUCGCCCUUAGAGUUUGAUCAUGGCUCAGAAUGAACGUUGGCGGCGUGCUUAACACAUGCAAGUCGCACGAGAACUCUUUAAGCUUGCUUAAAGAUAGUAAAGUGGCGCACGGGUGAGUAACGCGUGGGCAAUCUACCUCCGAAUUGGGGAUAACUUCGCGAAAGCGGGGCUAAUACCGAAUAACAUUCUAAGAGCUUUGGCUUUUGGGAUCAAAGGUGGCCUCUACAUGUAAGCUACUGUUUGGAGAUGAGCCCGCGUACCAUUAGCUUGUUGGUAGGGUAAUGGCCUACCAAGGCGACGAUGGUUAGCUGGUCUGAGAGGAUGAUCAGCCACACUGGAACUGACACACGGUCCAGACUCCUACGGGAGGCAGCAGUGAGGAAUUUUGCGCAAUGGGGGAAACCCUGACGCAGCAACGCCGCGUGAGUGAUGAAGGCUUUCGAGUCGUAAAACUCUGUCAAGUGAGAAGAAUCUGUCCCGCGUUAAUACCGCGGGAUACUGACGGUAUCACUGAAGGAAGCACCGGCUAACUCCGUGCCAGCAGCCGCGGUAAUACGGGGGGUGCAAGCGUUAUUCGGAAUCAUUGGGCGUAAAGGGCGCGCAGGCGGUCUUUUAAGUCAGAUGUGAAAGCCCGGGGCUCAACCCCGGAAGUGCAUUUGAAACUGAGAGACUUGAGUAUGGGAGAGGGAAGUGGAAUUCCUGGUGUAGAGGUGAAAUUCGUAGAUAUCAGGAGGAACACCGGUGGCGAAGGCGACUUCCUGGACC
Molecule: ribosomal RNA, 775 nt
Filed under: uncultured bacterium
Lineage: Bacteria
Description: partial 16S ribosomal RNA
Rfam family: Bacterial small subunit ribosomal RNA
Source: RNAcentral